RNAcentral lists this long non-coding RNA (2832 nucleotides) under Homo sapiens (human). RNAcentral describes it as "HSALNT0338371". The record is from RNAcentral. Lineage: Eukaryota; Metazoa; Chordata; Mammalia; Primates; Hominidae.
GAGGCUUUUCUCUGUUGGCUCGGCACUUCUUCCUGCCGCCAUGUGAAGAAAGAUGUGUUUGCUUCCCAUUCUGCCAUGAUGCUGCUCAGUCACUUUUUGUGACAGAAAUGCCGUGUCAUUAUCCUUCAAUGUGAACUCCACAGGAAGGCUGAAAAUGAACUAAAGAGCCUGGAAAAUGUGGCUUGGUCAAGAUCUACCUAUCAGCAAGCACUCGAGCAAUGUCUGAGUGGCCUGGUAAUGGAGCCCCUCACAGAGCCUGUCACCAGCCAAUCACAGGCAUCACUCGGAGGCAUUUUCCCUUGGACGUAGCCAGCAUCCUGUUUCUUCAAGUUCAAAAACUAAAGCUUCCAUAUACCCCACCCUCUCAACGGAGAAGCUGAAUGUAAACUGUCCGUGCUAGGAAAUGUGGUAACAAGCAGUGAGUAAUGAAGGGUCCCCUGCUUGCUGCCUCAGUAUUUCCCUGACUAUUCUUUUUUCUUUCUAUCAUCCCUUUCUUUUAACUGGCAUUCGUUUUCUGAACUAUUUUCCGUGACAGAUGCUUAACCUUCACUUUGCUUUCCUGAAACGUGGCCUGGAGAAUCAGGUCUUUUCAAUAUGCUCUAUGUGUUUUUCCCCCUCUGCCAACAUUAGUAUUUGAAAAAAAUUUGGGGACCGCAUAAAGCUGGCAGGACAGAGCCAUCCACACCAUAUUUCUUUGUUAUUUGUGCUUAAUAUAUUGUUGGCAGCCUUGUCUGUUUUAGCUUGUUGGCAGGAUUUGGUCUCUCUUUCCCUGGCACUAUUCCCUCGUUUUUGAACAUGCAGGGAAAUUUAUUUAGAGAGCUUUCCAACAGUCCAUUUUUAGACCCAUGGAUGUAAAACUCACCAGUCGACCCUGUUCCAUCAAACGGCCAAGAAGCAGUCCUCAUUGUAAUUAAUCAUUACAAUAAUCAUUAAUAAUUACUGACAUGCACAUAAGUUUUGAAUCUUAAAAACACAACAUAUAUUUGCAACUUGCAUAAUGUCUCAGUAAAAACCUUCAGAAGACACUUGUGGCAAAGUGCAGAAUCUCACAGUGAACUAGCAGCUGAGAGGCCAUGAGGAGGCAGAACGCAUUUGACAAAACGCAAAACGCCUUGAAAUGCAGAAGAGUUUGGCAACAUGCAGCUAUGACAGUGAACUCUAGUAUUUGUUGCAUUUGGUUUUAGCUCAUUAUAAAGAAAAUGUGUUGCAAAUCAGGUAGAAGAAGCUGCUCCCUAAUAAUUAAAGCAUGUGUCCUAAACAGGUAGUCAAUUUCUUGACCGGAGGCAACCUUGAGCUGAUAGCACAUGUCAGUUCAGAGGAUGUAGUGCAAGGAGUGAAUUUCAUCAGUUCUAUAUAAAAAGAGAUUUCACCUUGAUCACUGCUGUCUGCUUAAUGGUUGUUCCAGUUCACAUCUCAUUUGAUUAACAGAAAUUUAGAGAAAAAAAAUUAAAACUGGUGAAAAAAAUUCAUCAAAAUGGAAAAUCAGUCACUGGCAUCCCCUACAGCAGCCCCACUAUACUUGAGCUAACAACUUACAGCCCCUCUCUAACCUAUACAUAAAUCGUUCUUCAGAGUUUAUUCCAAUCAUCAAAACCUGCAAGUACAUGGAUCAUGUACUGCCAAAAGAUUCUGCAUUGGCAUUUAAAAUACGAAUUUAAAAGCUUAAAAAUAUAUACCGCAUUAAGGAUGUUUAUCUCUGAGAUGUGGGACUGUUUUCUUUUUGUAUUCUUUUGCAUGUAAUCCUUUUAUAAUUGGAUGAACAAUAUGUAAUUUUAAGAAAGUAGAGAAUUUCUUUCCUCAAGUAUCAGGAGAAUGAACAAUCUUAAAAUUAAAAUCAACUUUUUGUGCAAGAAUUUUCCAAACACUUGAGCAAUUUUUGACUUAAAUCCAAGGUUUCAUGACUGAAGGUGUACUUAGCAACUAUCCCAUGGUGCACACUCCAAAAACUCUACUCCAAUAUGCCAGUGAGUGUUUUCUACUCCAAAGAAUAGUGAACUAUGUCCUGUGAGCCCAACUUGACUGGUUCCUUCUUUUCCUAUGGCCCACAAGCACAUAAUAAUAGUUUUCAUCUUUUCAAAGGGUUUAUUUUAAAUGGUUAUUUUAGUACCUACACAAUCCCUUCUGCUUUUGGUAUUUUUGUUUGACAGCAAAACCUAAAACAUUUAUUUUCUGGCCCUUUAAGAAAGAACUCACCAGUCACCGAUGUAACAAAAAGUGGUCCAUAUUGAAAGAAUUGUAGGAUACAGUAAGUAAAAACAGGAAAACGUUUUUUCACUCAAUCCCUCUCAAGGCUUUAAUGUGCUAUUAGGUAUUAUAACUAUAACUAAAUUAUAACUAUAACUAUGCAUCCUCCCCAAACUAUUUGACCAUUUAGAGUUUCCUUCUAGGCAGGCUUUAUGAUAUAUUCAAGGUUAUUAUGAAGUGUGGUGCAUUGUUAUUCAACUAAAGGAAGUUUGCUCUGUACCUUUAUAGGAAUUCAUAAAGACAAGUUACUACAUUCAGGUCCCAGAUGCAGCUCUUUAUGGAAAAUGACAUCAUGUAAAACAGUGCCUCUGUCUGCUCAGAGUUCACAAUCAUUUCAAGAAAUAAAAGACUGUUUUUUUUAAGUGUAGAAAUGGUAUGUCUCAAAGACAUCAGUAAUAGAAAUAAAAGCCAGUAAUUAAAUUUGGAUUUAUUCUCUUUUUUCUAGCACACAGCCUUUGGGAUGGGGUAGAGAAAGAAGUGCCCUUCCUUACAAAGACAGGAAAUCAGGCAUCUCAGUUUUAAGAAUUGCGUCUCUUUAUCCGCAGGGAUUGGUAAACAGACUUUUCAAAGUGUUGCUAAGAACCAUAA